CAUCUCUGCAGCCUUGUUGGGUGGGUGUGUGUCCGGGUGGCUCCGUGUCUGUUUCCGAAAGUGACUCUAGGUGUGACCGUGUGUGUGAUGGUGUGACUGUGGGUACCACUAACUGUUCUGCGUGUAUGUGACACACUGUGCGUGUGGCUAGAUGGUGCUGUCUACGUGACUGUGUUUCUGGACCUGGACUAGGAUGCGCACAAAAUGGACUGGACCUGUCUUGCUCUGCAGAAGCCUCACAGCCCCAAGUUCUUAACGUCUAGACCAGCUGCCUCCAGUGGCUUCCUCCUGACCUGGCACUGGCACUUGCAUCCUUGGCUGGCCGGGCUCCUCACUUCCCACCUCCCUCGACGUCUUUCUCCUUUGUCCUUCUCCUCUCUCUUCUGCCCCACUCCCCUCCAACUUUGUCUCAAACUAUCCUCACCCCACACCCAGGUCUGCUGUCCCUCUGUCUCGCUCAGCCUCCCUCUCUCGGAGGCCCUCCGCCUUGCCUCUGCCUCCCUGCCCCUCCGGAGUGCGGGUGUCCCCGAGCUGGUGGGGUGGGCAGAGGGCAGGAGUCUUACCACGAGGAAAGGACCCGCCCCCUCCAGCACCUCCAGGAUGGCCGAGCAGGUCCUGAGGACUCAGGGUCUGCGGUGGGAGGGUCCUGCCGAGGGGGCGCUGGUUGGGUCUGUCCUGGGGUUCGAGGACAGAGGGUCCCGGUGGGGCUAGGAGGGGGCGGAACCUCGCGGCACUCCCCUCCCCCACUUUCUUAAAGGGCCCGGUGCGGGGCCGCGUGGGACAGGGUUGGUCGCGCCCUCCCCACCAGCGUUGG
Long non-coding RNA from Microcebus murinus (gray mouse lemur), 814 nucleotides. NCBI's taxonomy places the organism in Eukaryota, Metazoa, Chordata, Mammalia, Primates, Cheirogaleidae. The record is from Ensembl.